RNAcentral lists this ribosomal RNA (156 nucleotides) under Triticum dicoccoides. Its description in RNAcentral is "rRNA 5_8S_rRNA". It matches the Rfam family "5.8S ribosomal RNA". Rfam says of the family: 5.8S ribosomal RNA (5.8S rRNA) is a component of the large subunit of the eukaryotic ribosome. The record is from RNAcentral. Lineage: Eukaryota; Viridiplantae; Streptophyta; Magnoliopsida; Poales; Poaceae.
GACUCUCGACAACAGAUAUCUCGGCUCUCGCAUUGAUGAAGAACAUAGCGAAAUGCGAUACCUGGUGUGAAUUGCAGAAUCCCGCGAACCAUCGAGUCUUCGAACACAAUUUGCGCCCGAGGCCACUCGGCCGAGGGCACGCCUGCCUGGGCGUCA